GAUAUAGUGGCGCAGCGGUCUAAGGCACUGCAUCUCAGUGCAAAGAAUUUCACUACAGUCCCUGGUUCGAAUCCAGGCUGUAUCA
Molecule: transfer RNA, 85 nt
Filed under: Salmo salar (Atlantic salmon)
Lineage: Eukaryota; Metazoa; Chordata; Actinopteri; Salmoniformes; Salmonidae
Rfam family: tRNA
About the family: Transfer RNA (tRNA) molecules are approximately 80 nucleotides in length. Their secondary structure includes four short double-helical elements and three loops (D, anti-codon, and T loops).
Source: Rfam by way of RNAcentral